CACAACACUAAUUGUCUUCUCACGUUGCCACUUUCACUCCUUCCCGUCCUUAAAAAAAAAAAAAAAAAAAAAAAAAAAAGGAAAAAAACCUAACCAAAACAAACCCCAAAACCACCAAACAGCACGGUGAGACGGGCCGCAGAAAGCAAAGACAGCAAUCAAACCGACGUGAUCGGUGCCUGUGAUUGACCUCAAGGCCCUGCUCUGCUGAAGCACUCAGCCCCUGCUGCAAAGCGGGUUAACUGCGCAGCCCUGCUCGGCACGGCUCGGGGAGGCAGCCGGGAAGCUCCCUCGGCAGAGGAGCGACUCCCUGGCAGCUCGAUUAUUAAUGCACGCGUGGAAGUACCUGCUCACAUCACGCCUAUAUGUUCUCUCUCACGUCGAUUUGCAUGACCUCCGGCAAAGAGCUAAGGCAGCAAGAAAUCCCAAGUCGAAUGUUGCCACAAAGCGGCACACAUCUCCCCUUCCCCGGGUGUAAACAGAGCUCUCUGAUGAUGGACUGCUUUCUUCCCCCCUCCUUGUGUAUCACAAAUUAGGGUGCGGUAUCAAUUUUAAAGUUUUCAGUAUAACUUUAUCCAAACCCUCUGCUUGGAGAGAUAAGGCGCCUCCACAGACCGGCAACUCCUCGGGACAGUGCCCCGCUGUGGCCAAAGCCAGCAUUACCACCUCCGCUCCAGGAGCUUUGUAUUAUUCCACGCUCCGUGGGUAGCACUCAUUUGUGGCGAACUUCAAAGCAGUUACCCACCUCAAACUUAACGGAGAAUUUAAAAGCACCACUACACUCCCUUCGCCUUUCCCCAUCCCGUGCCUUUCGGGGUUAUCCGUAAAGAGAAACCCACGCGAGCACUUCGGAAUAAUGACAGCAGCGCUCUGCUCGCAAAGAUUUAUUUUGGAUUUUAUUUUUCCCCUCUCUCUCUCUCUCUCUCUCUCUCUCUUUCUCCCUCUCGUGUUAGUUCCUUACGUACAAUAUCUUCCCAGCACCAUGUGUUCGCCUGCCGUGGGUGAUCUUAAAAUACAACGCUGAUCUGUCACUACAUUUUAAAAUAAACUCUGCUCGGGAAGGAUGAGAAAGUGUUGUGAUUUCAAGGUACUGGGGUCCCUUAACAUCUCGGAAACCUCGGGAUUCAAACAGCCCCGGAAACUCGCACGGGGACGAGGCUAGAACUACUUUUCCCUAAAGAAGAGGAGAUUAAAAAAAAACCCAAAACAACGCACAACAACAAAAAAAACCCCAACCCAACACCACCCUAGUGGUAUAAGAGUAAAUAAUCGGGCGGGGGGGGGGCGGGGGAAGGGGUGAAUUCAGCAAUGUUAAAAGCUAAACAACAGAUCUACCUCCGGACGCUGCUGCUUCACUCAAUUGCAACUAACAACCCAUUAAAGACAGCGCAAGGGGAACCGGAUUCUCUCCUGCAAAGCGACAUAAAUCCAGCGAAAACCCAUUAAACCGCCACCACCACCACCACGCCACGCAGCACUACACACCACAGCAAACAACAGUGAAGGCGAUGGUUACUGCUGUCAAUCUUGGCAAUCAAUGUGAGCGGCCAUGUCGUAAGUAUUCAAAGCAUUUCCCGUCGUGCAACAUCAGAAAGUGAGUGGCCAGGGCAUUGAUCUGAGGAAGGCAAAAGGAGGCAGGGCUCCCCCGCCCAGACAGCACAGGCAAGAUGAGACAACACAGAGAGAGAGAGAGAGAGGGAGAGGGGAAGAGAGAGAGGGAGACUGAGAGCGAGCGAGCGGGGAAAGCAACAACUGCGGAGAAAGUGAGCACAAAACAGAAAGUGAAAUCACCCCAGGCUGCCAGCCGCAUCCCCGAGAAGCUAUCACCACUCACAUUGCUAUUAGACAAAUGAAACCUUAAACCUCUCUCCUCUAAUGACCACUGAUUGCCCGGAGUGGUGAGGAAAGGCUAAACUGUUGUUAAGAUGGGAGUGCGGAAAGCAACCUCAAGCCCACAAAAUGAGAGAGAGAGAGAGAAGUUGUUGAUUCAUCUCUGUAUUUUUGGCACUUUCUCCCCAUUUUCCAGAAGGCGCCUGGAACAGUUAGUAACAGAGAAACUUUUUAAUUUUAAAAUAGCUUCAUAACUUACAGAGGCCAAAAAGACGAGAGGAAAGCCUGAUUUCGCUUUCCUCCUCUCCCAAGUAGAAAUGUGCGGAAUAGGUUAGACCCAGAAGCGUACUUAGCCCCACUGCGAGUGAACGUUGCUUCAGAAGAACGUGAUGAAAAUUGAGCAUUAACAUGAUGGCACAGGACUGAUCGGACUCUAUUUCAUUUUGUUAACAAGCUGUAAAACUCUACACACUACUGGAGCCGUGCACAUUGCAUCCUCUACCUUGCUAUCCGAGGUACUAUCGUCCCUCUCGAAUCGAGUCCAGGGAAAAUGAGUUUUAAGUCAGAACCUCUUGGAACAGCAGACCUUUUUAUACAGUAUUUUUGGCAAUUCCACUACAAUAAAAGGAGCGAUCAAGUCCUAUUUGGCAAGCAGCAAACACCUUGAAGCAGAACUUUAAAAUAAUCUAGUAAGGCUUUAUCAUCAAAUUAGCUGGUUGAGGGCAUAGUAGCUAAUUUCCAUGCAUUCUUUCCAUUUUAACAGAAGAUACUAAAAAGCUGAAAUUCAGAGACAAGGGGGUAAAUUGUAAGAUUCUAAAUACUGAGUUUGUAUUCACCUGCGUCCAGCUAAUUCAGAGUAUUCACCUUGCUGCUGUUAUAUGGGCUACAGAUUCAACAACAGGAAAUAGCUGCCUUUCCAGAUAUUGCUGUGUCCUUUUUGAUCUUUAAUUAUAAGAAUUCCCGUGAUUGGUCACUAACACUUUCCUUGUAACGCGUUUAAACCUGCUGCAAGUAAAGGAAACACCUUGACUUUUUGCAUAUCUAGUAGCUUCGGCGCGCAAAAAAAAAAAAAAAAGCUCUGUAAGAAAAGAGAUGUAAUCUGAAUAUAGGGACGAACUAUCCUGCCCGAGUUGGCAACCCCAUCAAUUUGUUACUGGAAGUUUUUUUUUCUUUCAAGAAACAAACAGGGAAACAUAAAAAAAUCCCAAACCCACCCUUCAAAUGUAGCGUCCUCCUUCCUAAGUACGAGGCGGUAAUGGGACAAGAGAUAAUUAAGGCAUCAGAUAAAUCUAACCGCCCACCUAACUCCAAAGCAGGGGAGCAUCUCGCUGCACUUCCGAAAAUCCUACGCAGAGAAUGACACUCGGCUGGGGCAGGACCCCGCAGAGAUGCGUCCCCACUCCCAGGCGGAGCGCAAGUCGUACUCUCCAGCUUGUUGCUUCCCCUGUGUGAUCAAUUAAGUUACAGAUGUAAGACAGUGCCAGGGAGCUAUAACUUCUCCGCGGCGGAAAAAGCGGACUCCUUGGGCAUUGUAUGCAAAUGUGCGUGUAUGUGCGCUGCCCAGGAAUACUUGUGGUUCCCUCUUUGUUUGCAUUAGCGAACAGCCGCCGUGUAGAUACGUAUACACGUGCCGAGAAAAAAAAAAAAAAAAAACAAAACGCUUUUACUUUCAGCAUUACCAUACGUUUAGAGACCGCGUUUUAAAUUACUUCCCUUGCUUUUGCUUCAUUAAGGCUAAAACCAGCCAGAGCAGGCAGAUGUUGAGGAGGGAUGCUCAACUGCUGUGGGUCCUUGCAGAGGGAAGGGAUCGGAGGCGCGCAGUUCACGUCGGGGCACUUACCUGUUCACAGCUGUCAUUGCAUUUUGUGCCGUCUCCUUCAUUAAAUACGUUAAAGUAAAGCAAUAUUUAACAACCUAAGCAACCUGUCUGUGUGUUGAGUUUUACACACCGCAUCUUUAACAUGAUGAGCAAACCUACAACUCCUGUAGAGUUGGUGGAACAGCCUAAGAAGUUUUGAUUCAAAUGGCAAGAAAUUCCACCUUAACCGUCACUCACCCAAUUCUAAACUCUCCUCUCUCCCCAGUUAAUGCCGGACAAUUAACAGGCAUAUUUAUAAAUUCCCUCUGCUGACGCUCUCCGACAAUGAAGACUUUUUAUAGCCUUGUUAAAGAUGUUCAGAGAAACUUUUGCAAAAUAAUCAACAGCGUCUGAGAGAAAGCUAAAGGAAAAGAAGUUAAAGCCUGAUCAUCCGAUUGGGAGAAAGUUUUGUUAGACUAGAUAGAAGCACAUUACUGCACGUUUCUUCCUAAGCAAACCUAUCAGCUGGUACGAGUUCCCCUAGAACAAGAACCUCUGGCGAUCUCCUCAAAAUUUAAGGGACGUUUGCAUUUUAUAACGGCCAAAGCUAAAGAUCUGACUGAAAACAAAAACUCUGAAUUCCUUACAGCGUCAUCUGCCAACAUAAUGUAUUGUCCUGGCAGAAAGAGGAUCAAGCGGAUUUUAAUUUCAUUUGAACCUGUGCAUCAUCUUGAUAGUGAAGUAAAAAGCCGCAGCAACAAUCUCCCCACUCCACCACCCUCCCCCGUUCACAAAAAAAAAAAGGGGGGGGGGGAGGGGGGGGACACGGACACACGACGACCUGGUAAAACCACAUAAACUUUUACAAAGAAAAUAAAAGCAAGUUUGACACGAAAACCCCUUCCUGUCUCGGAAAGUUCAUUUUAAAGGUCCCCUCUGUAGAUCUAAAGUGCAAACACCAGGCUAAGGUAGUGAGUGGCUGGAAUUUGCAUGCUGAUAAGAGAAGGCUGUUGUACUUACAGUGACAGAGGGCAGGCUGCGGAAGAAAAGCUGUUUGUGUUAGCCUGAGAGUCACCCAGGGCUGCAAUGAGAGGAGAAGAGAGGAGUGGGAGUGCCAAGCUGGAUACACCUUCACCGCAUCUCAUCACAUCUGCCAGCCUCUCUCUCCCUCUCUCUUUCAUUUCCACAUUCCCUUUGUUCCUGAAAAAAAAAAUCUACACGUCACAUCAGUCCCCAGAUGCAGUCUACACCAAAGAAAAAAAAUGAAUAAUUCAAUCAAACUGUGCAUAGUCUCUAAGGCAAUAAAUCUACUGCACUUAAAGAAACGAGGGGUAAUUACCGCUAUAGAAUCAGAAUAAGGCCAGAGCGCGCAGGGAUCCCAGGGUCUGUAAACUCCACGGUCAAAUAAAGUUUCAUUUAUUUAAUCCUUUGACAAUCCCAAUAUAAACUAAAGGGGAGGAUCGGAACUUAUUCCGGUUGGGUCUGAGAAUGCUUGGAGUGAAUGUUAUAGAAGGAGAGCGCCCGUGAUCUGUAACAAACACAAUGCAAGGAAGUCGAAGUGUUUCACUGCAUCACCUCCAGGGUCCGUUCCCCCCUCCCUAAUGAAGAGCAGACCACACUCCCACCGGCUUCUGCUGCUCUCUGCAAGUGCAACGGGAAUCGCUGGCAGCCAGCAGCCGCCUUACCUGCUCCUAGAUUGCCAAUAAAGCCUGACAAAAACUCAGGGUAACCGGCAAUUUUGUUCCACGCUGUGGCGAAGAGAAGCCAUGGGGGAUUUGCACCGGCGCGGAUUGACUCGAAAGGCUGCCCCUGACUUCUGGAUUUGCGCUGGGCUGAGUUUGGGGACUGCCUGCCGGGGGGCGGGGGGAGCGGGCUGGGGAGCGGAUCCCAGCUGGGCAGGCGGCGGCAGCGGUGCCGGAGCCCUGCGACAGACCGGCCGAGGUGGGAUGGAGGAGAGCCACGCUUUCCCCUCUCCUACCUCUAGCGUUGCUCUCUCGGCUCGGAGAUUUCAUUUCUUCGAUGGACUCUUCUGCAACUCAGGCUUCCCAUCUGCCGGCUACUCUCCUGGACUAAAAUUAUGCUACAUACAUAAUGAUGUGCAAAGGUGGCGAAAAAGAGAAAAUUGCAAAGACUUACUGGGUGGCAGGAAGUGGGAUUCACUAUAAUCAACAGCAGCAGGGGACUCUUUGAGGCUGUGUUGCAAGAUAUAUUCAAGAUUUUAGCAGAAAGAAAAUAAUUGCAUUUAAUAUUGUGCUGGUGGGAAAUAACAUAUGUUCAAUCUUUUCCAGCUUUUAUACUUACAUUCAGAUUUAGACUCUCGCCCUUUAGAUGCAGAGAUACUACUCCUUAAGAUCUGGAUACUUUGGGGGGGGAGGUUAGUACACUUAUGCAGAGGAUGUCCUAUUAUUAGCCAGCUAGAGCUUUAUACUACUUGCAAAUUUUACUUCAAAAAUUUACUAAGGCUUCAUGAACAUAUUCACUAGACAAAAUAAACAGCCCUGUGUUCAAUAAGCAAGCUAUUACCAAAACAUAAUUAAGCUUCCAGCAUUAUUGUAUUUUAUUGUUUUUUAUUAAAAACUCAUUA
This is a non-coding RNA of Phalacrocorax carbo (great cormorant), 6212 nucleotides long. NCBI's taxonomy places the organism in Eukaryota, Metazoa, Chordata, Aves, Suliformes, Phalacrocoracidae. The record is from RefSeq and is a predicted model, not a curated record.